GACGAACGCUGGCGGCGUGCCUAAUACAUGCACGUCGAACGCAGUGGGGACGGGUGAGUAACACGUGGGUAACCUCCCAUCAGCGGGGAUAACACUUGGAAACAGGUGCUAAACCGAUACUGAUGGAUGGACCCGCGGUUCAUUAGCUAGUUGGUGCGGUAACGGCUCACCAAGGCCACGAUGAAUAGCCGCCCUGAGAUGGUGAUCGGCCACACUGGGACGGCGACACGGCCCAGACUCCUACGGGAGGCAGCAGUGGGGAAUAUUGCACAAUGGGCGCAAGCCUGAUGCAGCCAUGCCGCGUGUAUGAAGAAGGCCUUCGGGUUGUAAAGUACUUUCAGCGGGGAGGCGUUACCCGCAGAAGAAGCACCGGCUAACUCCGUGCCAGCAGCCGCGGUAAUUC
Molecule: ribosomal RNA, 403 nt
Filed under: uncultured bacterium
Lineage: Bacteria
Description: partial 16S ribosomal RNA
Rfam family: Bacterial small subunit ribosomal RNA
Source: RNAcentral